UUCAGUAUGUAAAUGAAUAUGUUAUGAAGUUUGUGAAGAUUUGCAUAUUAACUACUCUAAAAACUUCACUAGUGAUCUGUGUGUAUUCAGCUGUGCCAGAACCAACAGAACACAAUGUCUCUUAUUCUGAUAAUGGGAACACUGGGUCUGCUUGCUCAAGGGUCCUAUCAGGAGGUUCAGUCUCCUGAAUUUCUGUCAGUUAAAGAAUCAGAAUCUGCCUCUAUUAGCUGUACUGGGACCAGUGGAGUUGAUGAUGACAUGAGCUGGUAUCUGCAGAAACCUGGAGAAGCUCCUAAACUCCUGAUCUAUGAUGCAAAUCGACGUGCAUCUGGAAUCUCAGAUCGGUUCAGUGGAAGUCAAUCUGGACUCCUUUUCACACUGACCAUACGUGAAGCCAAACCUGAAGAUGCAGGAGAUUAUUACUGUAUGGGGGCUUAUAGUGGAAGGCGCACACAGUGAAAUUCUGUCAUACAAAAACCUCCCUUAGUCAGAAAGCAAAGAGAGAAGCUCACCACCAUAUCAGUCUGUUGAGACAGAUCACCUGUUUGUCUUGUGGAUAUCCACUUGAUAUUUUGUUAUAAAAUUAUUGUAACAACAUAUUGUAGAUGUUAGCAAUAAUU
Non-coding RNA from Triplophysa rosa, 620 nucleotides. NCBI's taxonomy places the organism in Eukaryota, Metazoa, Chordata, Actinopteri, Cypriniformes, Nemacheilidae. The record is from the annotation of a RefSeq genome assembly.